This is a non-coding RNA of Pelobates cultripes (western spadefoot toad), 212 nucleotides long. NCBI's taxonomy places the organism in Eukaryota, Metazoa, Chordata, Amphibia, Anura, Pelobatidae. The record is from the annotation of a GenBank genome assembly.
UAUAUGCACAAUACCUUCAAUUGACCACAUACACAACAGCACAGAUAGCACCCCUCACUAUAUACACAAUUACUUCACACAACACACAUACACAGCACACACAAAACCCUGAACAUCACACAACAGACAGGCCACAACACAUUACCCCAGGCAGCACACACCACAAACAUAAAUAUUAGAAGCAAUCCACAUGCAAACAUUUAGCAUCACAG